GAUAAACGCUGGCGGCGUGCUUAACACAUGCAAGUCGAACGAAGUUUUUCUUUCGGGAGAAACUUAGUGGCGGACGGGUGAGUAACGCGUGGGUAACCUGCCCUGUACAGGGGGACAACAGCUGGAAACGGCUGCUAAUACCGCAUAAGCCCUUAGCACUGCAUGGUGCAUAGGGAAAAGGAGUAAUCCGGUACAGGAUGGACCCGCGUCUGAUUAGCCAGUUGGCAGGGUAACGGCCUACCAAAGCGACGAUCAGUAGCCGAUCUGAGAGGAUGUACGGCCACAUUGGGACUGAGACACGGCCCAGACUCCUACGGGAGGCAGCAGUGGGGAAUAUUGCACAAUGGAGGAAACUCUGAUGCAGCGACGCCGCGUGAGUGAAGAAGUAUUUCGGUAUGUAAAGCUCUAUCAGCAGGGAAGAAAAUGACG
This 429-nucleotide ribosomal RNA is filed under the name uncultured bacterium. Its description in RNAcentral is "bacterial SSU rRNA". It matches the Rfam family "Bacterial small subunit ribosomal RNA", at positions 28 to 456 of the family's 1533-position model. The record is from RNAcentral.